This 500-nucleotide ribosomal RNA is filed under the name uncultured bacterium. RNAcentral's name for it is "partial 16S ribosomal RNA". It matches the Rfam family "Bacterial small subunit ribosomal RNA", at positions 30 to 523 of the family's 1533-position model. The record is from RNAcentral.
AUUGAACGCUGGCGGCAUGCCUUACACAUGCAAGUCGAACGGCAGCACGGGAGCAAUCCUGGUGGCGAGUGGCGAACGGGUGAGUAAUAUAUCGGAACGUGCCCAGUCGUGGGGGAUAACGCAGCGAAAGCUGUGCUAAUACCGCAUACGAUCUCUGGAUGAAAGCGGGGGACCGUAAGGCCUCGCGCGAUUGGAGCGGCCGAUAUCAGAUUAGCUAGUUGGUGGGGUAAAGGCCCACCAAGGCGACGAUCUGUAGCUGGUCUGAGAGGACGACUAGCCACACUGGAACUGAGACACGGUCCAGACUCCUACGGGAGGCAGAAGUGGGGAAUUUUGGACAAUGGGCGCAAGCCUGAUCCAGCAAUGCCGCGUGCAGGAUGAAGGCCUUCGGGUUGUAAACUGCUUUUGUACGGAACGAAACGGCGAGCUCUAAUAAAGUUUGCUAAUGACGGUACCGUAAGAAUAAGCACCGGCUAACUACGUGCCAGCCGCCGCCGUAA